AAGUCGUAACAAGGUUUCCGUAGGUGAACCUGCGGAAGGAUCAUUAACACGUAUCCAACGUUAAACAACCCGUGAACCUUGAACGUGCCCAUGAACUCGGCGACCAGUUUUAAGUCAGAACGGCUGUUCAGGUGUAAGCGACCUGGCAUCCCCAAGCGAUCAGUGUCUGAAAGUGUCAUUGAUUGUGUAAGGAUGCGCAGUAAACGAUUGCUAGGCCCACGGCCGGCAACCGGGUCCCAGGGCUCGCCCCUUUAUCACCCCACAGUUUCCGACUGGGCAGCCGAUAAUACGGACGCCGUAAAAAACUGAACAACUGUUAACAAUGGAUAUCUUGGUUCUC
RNAcentral lists this unclassified non-coding RNA (340 nucleotides) under fungal sp. RNAcentral describes it as "partial internal transcribed spacer region". The stretch from base 1 to 46 matches the Rfam family "Eukaryotic small subunit ribosomal RNA", at positions 1786 to 1831 of the family's 1831-position model. The record is from RNAcentral. Lineage: Eukaryota; Fungi.